GAUGAACGCUGGCGGCGUGCCUAAUACAUGCAAGUCGAGCGAACAGACGAGGAGCUUGCUCCUCUGACGUUAGCGGCGGACGGGUGAGUAACACGUGGAUAACCUACCUAUAAGACUGGGAUAACUUCGGGAAACCGGAGCUAAUACCGGAUAAUAUAUUGAACCGCAUGGUUCAAUAGUGAAAGACGGUUUUGCUGUUACUUAUAGAUGGAUCCGCGCCGCAUUAGCUAGUUGGUAAGGUAACGGCUUACCAAGGCAACGAUGCGUAGCCGACCUGAGAGGGUGAUCGGCCACACUGGAACUGAGACACGGUCCAGACUCCUACGGGAGGCAGCAGUAGGGAAUCUUCCGCAAUGGGCGAAAGCCUGACGGAGCAACGCCGCGUGAGUGAUGAAGGUCUUCGGAUCGUAAAACUCUGUUAUUAGGGAAGAACAAAUGUGUAAGUAACUAUGCACGUCUUGACGGUACCUAAUCAGAAAGCCACGGCUAACUACGUG
Molecule: ribosomal RNA, 497 nt
Filed under: uncultured bacterium
Lineage: Bacteria
Description: partial 16S ribosomal RNA
Rfam family: Bacterial small subunit ribosomal RNA
Source: RNAcentral